This 3008-nucleotide long non-coding RNA is filed under the name Monomorium pharaonis (pharaoh ant). RNAcentral's name for it is "uncharacterized LOC105829792, transcript variant X1". The record is from RNAcentral. Lineage: Eukaryota; Metazoa; Arthropoda; Insecta; Hymenoptera; Formicidae.
UUUCUACAUAUUCCUACAUAAACUCAAAUAUUAAAUAACAUUUUGUAUUGCAAAUGUUUUCUAAAAUGGUUUAUUUAGGUUCAAAUUCACAAUAAAAAUAUAUUCUUAUCCAGCUUUAUUUACUUAUUUAUUAGUAUGUGUACUUACCUUAUCAUAUGAGUUGAUUUAUAAUAGCAACCAACCAGAAUGUGUGAAUGAAAAAGAACUCAAUUAUAAAUAAUUUUGUGGUAUUGUAUUCAAUAUUUUUGGAAUUUUCAAAUCACUAUCAUCAAAUUUUGUUGUAAUUAAAACGAUCGUUAAAAAAUAAAAUAUAAUCAAUUAAUGAUUUAUAAUUAAAAUUUCUUGAAUAAUAGAAAAGUUAACUUUUUGCUUAAUAAUCGUAAAUCGUAAUUAACUGAUUAAAAUAGAAUAAACUAAGUUAUAUCCGAUAUAACGUAGUAGCACAAAAUGAAAACUCUCAUAACGCAAUUAUAUGAGAAGUGUGAAUAAUAUCGGAGCGCUCACGUUGAUAUCUUAAAUUACGAUUGACUUCAUUUACAUCGAACGGUGUAAAAUGUGCGCGCGACCCAUUUGCGCAUAGUCUGCGAUAUAACAAAAGAGAUUUAGAAAGAUCACAUCAUGUAUUUGACAUGAUCAUAUCUAACAUUGUUCAAUUACUAUUCCGCUAUUCCGGUAUCGUACUUGCAAUCGCUUCCUACACAGGAUAUGAAAUUGUGCCGUUCCCUAGCACUAUCAUGAAUAAUUUAUAAGUGUAUGUAGGUAUUAAUAUAUCAUGCUAUAUAAAUUUUGUGAUAAAAAAGAAGGAAUUUUUUACAAGUUUAUUUUACAUACGAAGAUCUAAAUUAAUAACUAUUAGUAAUAAAUAUUAGUAAAAAAAAUUACACUAUUUAUUAUAACAAUUUUUUGCAUUGUACGAAAUAUUUAAAAAAGUGAAAUUAUUUUGAGAGUAGAUUAUAUUUUAGAACCUAUUCACUAAAUCGUUUUAAUGAUCUAGUGAAUAGGUCCUAAAAUAAUACUAAUAAAACCCAGCUAGCAAGAUGUCGCCCACUGGACGUCAAUAAUUCGUCAUUUAAGGUCGUCAUGUUACCAAAUUAAGACGUAAUAGUAACGUCAUUUUUUGACCCAUUAAUUACGUCAUUCAUUUAUCCAUCCUACAACGUAUUUCCAAUGUCAUAUUCUUGAAUAAUUAAUAACGUCAGUUAAUUGAUCAUUUUACGAGGUAUUAAUAAGGUUUUAUUAGUGAUUAAUUACUGUGUUAAUUAUGUUAAUUAUAAUUCUCUGUAAUAAUAUCUACAACAUAAACUUUUUGAAUAAUUUUUACGUUAAUCGGUUAUUAUUUGAUUAUUAUAUGUCAAUUUCAAAGUUAACUAUAAACUUAACAUUAAUUACUUAACAUUAAUAACUUAACAUUAAUUAUUAAUGAUAAUUAUUUAUUUAGUUUAUAAUUGCAAAAAUAAUUAAGUAUAAUUUUUAAUGUCAUUAAGGUAAAACGUUAGCUUUAUGACAUUUGGGCUGUGUUUCAAAAUUGCUGUCAGAGAGAACUGUUUCUUUGAAUUUAAUAUAUCCAGAGAUUUAAUAUAUACACACAGAGAGAACUGUUUCUUUGAAUUUAAUAUAUCCAGGUAGCAAACACGAGUCAUUUGUAACGUCAAAUUUUGGUCAUAUUGAUACGAAUGAUGUCUUAUGACCAAAAUACGACCGUGACAUUUAGGGUGUGUUCCAAAAUUUACUGCCAGCGCUAUAAGCAUUACGUCAUCAAGCAUGCUAGUAACAGCGUUCCAUUUUUACAAGCACGCUGCUAAGAUGUUCAAAACGGAACGCUACUGUCAGUGCUAGCAGUGCUACGUAGUGUUAUUCGAAUAAAUUAACUUUAAAAUAGAGAACUUUGUUCUGGGCCGCCGAGACAGAAGUAGACGGGACUGCCUCUACAUGGUGCUAUUCAAAUAAAUUAACCUUAAAAAAAGAAGAAUCUUAAAAGAAGAAGAAGAAGAACACCUUAAAAUAUGGAGAGAAACAAACAGCUUUUGAUUGGAACAUAUUUAAAUUUAAUUCUUGAAGAAUUUGACGAGGAAUCAAGCGAUGAAUCCGAUUCUGCAGAAAUAAUAAACAUAAUACAAAAUUCUUUCGAACGUAUACCUAAAGUACGCUGCAAGAACUAUCUCGAGAAUGUAAUAUGGGAAUAUAGUGAUAGUGACUUUAAAAGUCAUUUUUGUCUUAGUCGAUCAACGUUUGCAUUUUUGUUAGAGCUAUUAGCUCCACAAUUAUCAAAACAAUCCAAAGGACAAGGUAGACAUACAAUAAAACCAGAAAAGAUAUUACUGUUGGCAAUAUGGAUGAUGGCAACUCCUAAUUCGUAAAGAUGUGUUGCUGAUCAUUUUGAUGUAGGAAAAGCAACAGCUUGGAGGUGUGUUCACAAAGUUGUGAAUGCAUUAUAUUUACAUCUUCAAACAUUUAUUACAUGGCCAGAUAGAGCUAAAAGUGAAGAAAUCUGGACACAUAUUAAAAACAAACACAAAUUUCCGAAAGUAAUUGGAGCAAUAGACGGUACUCAUAUUAAAAUUGCAGCAUCAAAACUACACCCUGAUGCAUACGUAAAUAGAAAGGGCUAUCAUUCCAUACAAUUACAGAUAAUAUGCGAUCAUGAAUUAAAAAUCACUCAUGUUUAUGCGGGGCAGGUUGGAUCAGUACAUGACAUGAUAGUGUUUAGAUUAUCUGGAUUUGAAAACAUGUGUGUUCCACAAAAUUUCCCUGAAAACAGCCAUUUGUUAGGUGAUGCCGCAUAUAGCAUCCAAAAAUAUUUAAUGGUUUCAUUUAAAGAUAAUGGACAUUUAACAAAUGCACAAAUUAAAUACAAUACUUGCUUGUCUCAAGCCAGGAUGAUGGUAAAAAGAACAAUAGGAUUACUAAAAGGAAGAUUUCGAAGUCUCCUGGAUAUACUACCUAUGCGAAGAACAGAUUUAAUACCUAAAUAUAUUUGUGCUUGUUGUAUUCUACACUUCUCGCAAAAA